Molecule: ribosomal RNA, 495 nt
Filed under: uncultured bacterium
Lineage: Bacteria
Description: partial 16S ribosomal RNA
Rfam family: Bacterial small subunit ribosomal RNA
Source: RNAcentral
GACGAACGCUGGCGGCGUGCCUAAUACAUGCAAGUAGAACGCUGAAGGAGGAGCUUGCUUCUCUGGAUGAGUUGCGAACGGGUGAGUAACGCGUAGGUAACCUGCCUGGUAGCGGGGGAUAACUAUUGGAAACGAUAGCUAAUACCGCAUAAUAGUAGAUGUUGCAUGACAUUUGCUUAAAAGGUGCAAUUGCAUCACUACCAGAUGGACCUGCGUUGUAUUAGCUAGUUGGUGAGGUAACGGCUCACCAAGGCAACGAUACAUAGCCGACCUGAGAGGGGGAUCGGCCAAACUGGGACUGGGACACGGCCCAGACUCCUACGGGAGGCAGCAGUAGGGAAUCUUCGGCAAUGGACGGAAGUCUGACCGAGCAACGCCGCGUGAGUGAAGAAGGUUGUCGGAUCGUAAAGCUCUGUUGUAAGAGAAGAACGAGUGUGAGAGUGGAAAGUUCACACUGUGACGGUAUCUUACCAGAAAGGGACGGCUAACUACGUG